GUCUACAGCCAUGCUACUCUGAACAAGCCCGAUCUCGUCUGAUCUCGAAAGCUAAGCAGGGUCGGGCCUGGUUAGUAAUUGGAUGGGAGGCCACCUAGAAAGACCAGGUGCUGUAGGCA
Molecule: ribosomal RNA, 119 nt
Filed under: Pteropus alecto (black flying fox)
Lineage: Eukaryota; Metazoa; Chordata; Mammalia; Chiroptera; Pteropodidae
Source: RNAcentral